This 2894-nucleotide ribosomal RNA is filed under the name Acinetobacter baumannii. RNAcentral's name for it is "23S ribosomal RNA". It matches the Rfam family "Bacterial large subunit ribosomal RNA". Lineage: Bacteria; Pseudomonadati; Pseudomonadota; Gammaproteobacteria; Moraxellales; Moraxellaceae. The record is from RNAcentral.
GUUGUAUAGUCAAGUAAUUAAGUGCAUGUGGUGGAUGCCUUGGCAGUCAGAGGCGAUGAAAGACGUGAUAGCCUGCGAAAAGCUCCGGGGAGGCGGCAAAUAUCCUUUGAUCCGGAGAUGUCUGAAUGGGGGAACCCACCUACUUUAAGGUAGGUAUUGCAACAUGAAUACAUAGUGUUGCAAGGCGAACGAGGGGAAGUGAAACAUCUCAGUACCCUUAGGAAAAGAAAUCAAUUGAGAUUCCCUCAGUAGCGGCGAGCGAACGGGGAUCAGCCCAUUAAGUUAUGUGUGUUUUAGUGGAACGCUCUGGGAAGUGCGAACGUAGAGGGUGAUAUUCCCGUACACGAAAGGGCACACAUAAUGAUGACGAGUAGGGCGAGGCACGUGAAACCUUGUCUGAAUAUGGGGGGACCAUCCUCCAAGGCUAAAUACUCCUGACUGACCGAUAGUGAACCAGUACCGUGAGGGAAAGGCGAAAAGAACCCCUGUGAGGGGAGUGAAAUAGAUCCUGAAACCGCAUGCAUACAAGCAGUGGGAGCACCUUCGUGGUGUGACUGCGUACCUUUUGUAUAAUGGGUCAGCGACUUAUAUUCAGUAGCAAGGUUAACCGUAUAGGGGAGCCGUAGAGAAAUCGAGUCUUAAUAGGGCGUUUAGUUGCUGGGUAUAGACCCGAAACCAGGCGAUCUAUCCAUGAGCAGGUUGAAGGUUGGGUAACACUAACUGGAGGACCGAACCCACUGUCGUUGAAAAGCCAGGGGAUGACUUGUGGAUAGGGGUGAAAGGCUAAUCAAGCCUGGUGAUAGCUGGUUCUCCCCGAAAGCUAUUUAGGUAGCGCCUCGGACGAAUACCAUAGGGGGUAGAGCACUGUUUCGGCUAGGGGGUCAUCCCGACUUACCAAACCGAUGCAAACUCCGAAUACCUAUGAGUACUAUCCGGGAGACAGACUGCGGGUGCUAACGUCCGUAGUCAAGAGGAAAACAAUCCAGACCGCCAGCUAAGGCCCCAAAAUCAUAGUUAAGUGGGAAACGAUGUGGGAAGGCAUAGACAGCUAGGAGGUUGGCUUAGAAGCAGCCACCCUUUAAAGAAAGCGUAAUAGCUCACUAGUCGAGUCGGCCUGCGCGGAAGAUGUAACGGGGCUAAAACUAUGUGCCGAAGCUGCGGAUNNNNNNNNNNNNNNNNNNNNNNNNNNNNNNNNNNNNNAUGCUGGAGGUAUCAGAAGUGCGAAUGCUGACGUGAGUAACGACAAAACGGGUGAAAAACCCGUUCGCCGAAAGACCAAGGGUUCCAGUCCAACGUUAAUCGGGGCUGGGUGAGUCGACCCCUAAGGCGAGGCCGAAAGGCGUAGUCGAUGGGAAAAUGGUUAAUAUUCCAUUACUUCUGUGUAAUGCGAUGAGAGGACGGAGAAGGCUAAAUCAGCCUGGCGUUGGUUGUCCAGGUGAAAGGAUGUAGGCAUGUAUCUUAGGCAAAUCCGGGGUACUCUAUGCUGAGAUCUGAUAGCAAGCUGUACUUGUACAGCGAAGUGGUUGAUGCCAUGCUUCCAGGAAAAGUCUCUAAGCUUCAGUUACACAGGAAUCGUACCCGAAACCGACACAGGUGGUCAGGUCGAGUAGACCAAGGCGCUUGAGAGAACUCUGCUGAAGGAACUAGGCAAAAUGGUACCGUAACUUCGGGAGAAGGUACGCUGUUGUUGGUGAUGGAACUCGCUUCCUGAGCUGACGACAGCCGCAGAAACCAGGCCGCUGCAACUGUUUAUUAAAAACAUAGCACUCUGCAAACACGAAAGUGGACGUAUAGGGUGUGAUGCCUGCCCGGUGCUGGAAGGUUAAUUGAUGGGGUUAGCGUAAGCGAAGCUCUUGAUCGAAGCCCCAGUAAACGGCGGCCGUAACUAUAACGGUCCUAAGGUAGCGAAAUUCCUUGUCGGGUAAGUUCCGACCUGCACGAAUGGCAUAAUGAUGGCGGCGCUGUCUCCAGCAGAGGCUCAGUGAAAUCGAAAUCGCUGUGAAGAUGCAGUGUACCCGCGGCUAGACGGAAAGACCCCGUGAACCUUUACUGCAGCUUGACACUGAACUUUGACCUUACUUGUGUAGGAUAGGUGGGAGGCUUUGAAGCUGGAACGCUAGUUCCAGUGGAGCCGUCCUUGAAAUACCACCCUGGUAAUGUUGAGGUUCUAACUCUGUCCCGUGAUCCGGGACGAGGACCGUGUCUGGUGGGUAGUUUGACUGGGGCGGUCUCCUCCUAAAGAGUAACGGAGGAGUACGAAGGUGCGCUCAGCGUGGUCGGAAAUCACGCGUAGAGUAUAAAGGCAAAAGCGCGCUUAACUGCGAGACCCACAAGUCGAGCAGGUACGAAAGUAGGUCUUAGUGAUCCGGUGGUUCUGUAUGGAAGGGCCAUCGCUCAACGGAUAAAAGGUACUCUGGGGAUAACAGGCUGAUACCGCCCAAGAGUUCAUAUCGACGGCGGUGUUUGGCACCUCGAUGUCGGCUCAUCUCAUCCUGGGGCUGAAGCAGGUCCCAAGGGUAUGGCUGUUCGCCAUUUAAAGAGGUACGCGAGCUGGGUUUAGAACGUCGUGAGACAGUUCGGUCCCUAUCUACCGUGGGCGCUGGAAAUUUGAGAGGAUCUGCUCCUAGUACGAGAGGACCAGAGUGGACGAACCUCUGGUGUACCGGUUGUGACGCCAGUCGCAUCGCCGGGUAGCUAUGUUCGGAAGGGAUAACCGCUGAAAGCAUCUAAGCGGGAAGCCUACCUCAAGAUAAGAUUUCCCUAGGACUUUAUGUCCUCUAAAGAGCCGUUCGAGACUAGGACGUUGAUAGGUUGGAUGUGGAAGCAUAGUGAUAUGUGAAGCUGACCAAUACUAAUUGCUCGUGAGGCUUGACUAUACAACACCCAAGCAGUUG